UACGUAGGCAGCGAGCGUUGUUCGGAGUUACUGGGCGUAAAGCGUGCGCAGGCGGUGAUGUAAGACAGUUGUGAAAUCCCCGGGCUCAACCUGGGAACUGCAUCUGUGACUGCAUCGCUGGAGUGCGGCAGAGGGGGAUGGAAUUCCGCGUGUAGCAGUGAAAUGCGUAGAUAUGCGGAGGAACACCGAUGGCGAAGGCAAUCCCCUGGGCCUGCACUGACGCUCAUGCACGAAAGCGUGGGGAGCAAACGGG
This 253-nucleotide ribosomal RNA is filed under the name uncultured bacterium. Its description in RNAcentral is "partial 16S ribosomal RNA". It matches the Rfam family "Bacterial small subunit ribosomal RNA", at positions 524 to 776 of the family's 1533-position model. The record is from RNAcentral.